Long non-coding RNA from Mustela erminea (ermine), 3894 nucleotides. RefSeq lists it as uncharacterized. The transcript is spliced from 3 exons. Lineage: Eukaryota; Metazoa; Chordata; Mammalia; Carnivora; Mustelidae. The record is from RefSeq and is a predicted model, not a curated record.
GAAACAAGCUGAACUGUUUUCAGCACUUUACCUGGCGGUCAUCUGCCUCGGCAGCCCUGGGAGACCCGUACAAACAGGACUGUCUCCUCUGCACUCAGGGGCGUGGGCUAUCUGGGAUGUCAGCCGGAGCCCGCACAGUCUGUAGCUGGGGUGGCUCGCUCAGCAAACUCCUGAGAGACACAUCGAGGCAUCACAGGCCUGAAACUGGCCCAUCCAAACGCAGAGAAGCCUGAACAAUUAACUUGGUUGAGAAGAGAUCCUUUCUGCCUCUCCCGGAUGGCCGGGGGUCAAGAAAACCAAGACUUCACUUCAAGCCAAGCUGAUGAGAACUGAGCGGGCAGGCUGGUGGGUUAGCAGGGAGAUCUUGGGGUGGAGGCUGAGAGGACUUCCAGCCCAGCCCUGGGCCUGUCUCAAGCAGCUCCUCAGAGAGGCAGCUGGGGGCCUUUUCCCCCUGGUGUCUGGGGUGGCCAAGGUGACGCCUGGGAGCCUUCCCCGGUGCCUCUGGCGUCUCCCACCUUCCUCCUCCCGCCAGCCGAUCCGCCCGCCUCCCUGCAAACAGCAGCCUGAAUUCCUGGUGGGCUGAGACCUUUUGCUCCGAUGGGAAGUGACCCAUCCUCCGCCCCGAGGGGAAGUUCUAGUGAGUCCAAGCCAGCGGCCACUUCUCCCUAGUGACCGGUCUCUCCUUCAGGGCCGGACUCAGUUCCGCCUCCUAAGGAACUGCCUGCGGGUUGCCCUUCCUGGAUAAAACAGGACUUGGGGGGAGAGGUCGUUUUUUCUUUUUCUCCUUGGGCCUCCUUCCCUCCCCGUCUAGCUGGGACACUGGCGUGAGCACGUGGCAGAGGAGCUGGGACACCAUCUUGUGACCGUGAGGCCGCACGCCUGAGCUCGGUUGUAUUAGUCUCGUCUGAGCCAGUGGAUUUGAGGAAAGGCCCCUGGAGGAGGUUUCUUGGGUGAUUUCAUGUGUCAGCUUGACAGACUGGCCAUGGUGUGCCAGGAGUAACUCCGUCCGGGUGUAUCUGCAUUGUGUUGCCGGGUGAAAUUUGAGUUCGAACUGGCAGACUCGGAGAAAAAGGGGAAAGUGGCCGGCCCUCCCGGGCACCGUGGGCCUCAGGCCUGAAUACAGGGACGGACAGAGGGAGGGGGAGGGGCAGGAGGAGGAACUUGUCCUGUUCCUGCCUGGCGGCUUGGGCUGGGAUUAAGCUCACCUUCCCGGCCGGCUCUCCCUCCUUCUGGCUUGUAGGCGCUGGGUGGUGGGACUUCUCAGCCUCCAUAUCUGUGUGAACCGAUUCCUUAUAACAUAUUUCCAUUUACACGCCCCGCCUUGGUUCUGUUUCCCCAGGAAACCCUGACUAGCACGUACACGGCUAUCCCAAGGGUGCCCUUGGGAGCCGUGCCUGUGAGCGAGUGAGGGACUCGGGGCAGGAUGGGACGAGCGGAGGUUGAACUCCACGCGGCACGAUAACCUUGUCCGAUCCGUCCCGCCUGGAGAGCCCAGAGCUGGGACAGCCCUUCCGGGGUGGCAUGAGGUGAGAACAGGGGGCUAUGUCCUUGUCUCCCCACACCGGCCAGUUACAGGGCACGGGCUGGCCUGGCGGUGAGGCAGCUCCCUUGGACGCAGGACAGAUGGUUCCCAGAGAGCCCGGGCUGGGCAUGGGCAGCACCAGCCCUCCCUGCGGUGGGGACUGGGUACCUGGGUGCUGGGGGAGUGCGCACCUCAGAGUCCCCUACAGCACUGAGUGACUUAGCCAACAGAACAUCCCACCAGCUGCCUGCCUCUGGCCUUUUUGUGGAUUUAAAGCGCUCUAGUCCAACACCCUGUUAUUCCCCAUUGAAGGCAUCAUCCAAGCUAGGCCUUUGACCUUGGGGCGCGCUGGUGAGUUGGAGAGAAGGGAGACAGAGGACUCAGCCUGAGCCAUGAAACAGGUGGGGAGGGACACGACUCAGUGCUCCCAAGCCUCACCCCAGCAGCAGUGGAUUCCACACGUCCACAUCCCUGCGGUGGAGGCUGACACUGCCCGUCUUUCCUCACUGGUUUCAGAGGUGGGAGCUGAUGGCACACCCUGUGAGGCUGGGACACACUGCUGUUGUCCACCGAUACCCUGCCCGCCAUUCUUCAGUAGCAGAACCCAGCAGUCCCAGCUGGGAGCGGACACUCGGCCAGAUUACACUCGCUGGCAUCCCCUGUGCGUAGGCUAUUCACGGGGGAUGUGAGUGGAGGCAGUAGGACCCAGUGAUUCACGGACAUGUGCCCUGUGUGUGGGUUUCAGGGAGUCUGAUCCAGCCUCCAGGCUCUGUGCAAACUCGUGUUGGUCCAGGGGCACCACUUACAGCAAUGGAGGUGGUAGCGGUGAGCCUGUGGCAGGGGGACACGUGGGCCCUCCCACAUACAUUGCACUGCCCAGAAGCUGCUGCCAGACAGAGCAAUGACGCUUCCUUUCAGCUCAGAGUUGAUAGUCCCUGAAUCAGGGCGCUCUAUGUGCCCGUGACCCCUUUAAGUAAAGACAUGGGUGUGGGAAGUAGGGGGAGGGACACAGGACCGGAUCCGCUUUUGUUUGCCAUUCUCACAAUCGUGUCCUCUUCUAGAGGUCCCGAGCCCCAGAGGGGGAAUGCUGCCAGAAAAGGAUGUGGUAAGAGUCUGAUUCAAUGUCGAGUCACGGCUCCUCGGGCCAGCAGACUAGCCAGGUGAAGAAAGAGGUCUCUCUGCGGCCACCAGGGGAGGUAGGGGCGCUACUGCCCAGUGGGGCCAGAGAACAUGUCUGGCACCUACACGAACUGGCCUCUCUGCCCAAUUUUGAUGGCAUGUGGACAAGUACGGCAGCUGUGGGCUGAAAGGGGUGUGAGGAUCGAGGGUCCAAAGCCUCUAGGACGAGAGUCUGGGUCACCCCACCAGGUAGCUCGUCCAGAAUCUGCAAGAGAUUCCCUCUGCAGAGGGAGUCUGCAGUGGGUAAGGGCAGAGGAAUAGGAAGUGGGCGGGGCACAGAGUGAUUGACCGAUGUGGCUCCAAGAUUAUGUCAACCCUCCUCUUGUAAGUUUCCACAAAAGGAAGCAGGCAGCAUCCUGGAGAUGCUCUUCCAAUGGGGACCCCUGUGACACUCGGGGGUCUGAGUGGUGCCAAGGUGGACUGCAGUCAGCACUACGGUGUGCUGUCCAGGUUUACCCCAAGGACGAAGGCUUUCAUUUCCUCUGUGGCCGGGAGUGCUGGCUGCUGAUGACUCAGAGAAGUCCCUCAUGGAGCUGCCCACAGCUGCAUGCCUCCCCGCGCCCCGCCGCCAAGGGGCAGCCCUGCAAUGACUGGUUUGUGCACAGUGCAAAGGCCCCACACUCUGGUCCCAAUUCAGGAUAUCUCUGCAGGGCCAGGGGCCCCUUACCGUUCAACCUCCCGUCCCUAGGAAGCCACCUACAUGCAAGCAUCUGUCUCUUGGGGGAACCCGACCUACAUCACUUGUAGCUGUGGCAAAGACUCACCUGUUACCCAGCACUCUAAACUUUUGUCUCCCUGCUGCAGCGGCAAUGCUCCCUCUCCCUGGAACCACUCCUUGCAUUUUGUUCUAUCACCCCCGCUUGCCUUAAACUACAGUCACAGAUCUUAUCGAUCGCCCCAACCCCUCCAUGCCUCUUAGUGAACGCUGCUCAUUCAGUGUCUCAUCCUUUUCCAAGAGUGUGGUCACAGACACAGCAGUAAGAGCUCUGUACUAGUCAUGGGCUGUCACACAUUAUAUACAUGGGAGAAGCCAUAAGUAAUAUAACAAUAGUGGCAUAUACUCCCUCUGCCACCAGAAAUAAAGCAUAACAAUAAAACUGAAGCCUCUUGAAUUCCUUACUUACUGAUCAAAGUCCCCACCAAUACCCAGAGGCGACCCCUCCCCUGAAUUUAGUGUUUAGCAUUUUUUUAAC